GACGAACCGUGCAAACGUUGUUCGGAAUCACUGGGCUUAAAGGGCGCGUAGGCGGCUUGCAUAGUCGGUGGUGAAAUCCUGCAGCUUAACUGUAGAAGUGCCUCCGAUACUAGCAGGCUCGAGGGAGGUAGGGGUCUGCGGAACUUCUGGUGGAGCGGUGAAAUGCGUUGAUAUCAGAAGGAACGCCGGUGGCGAAAGCGGCGGACUGGACCUCUUCUGACGCUGAUGCGCGAAAGCCAGGGGAGCAAACGGG
This 253-nucleotide ribosomal RNA is filed under the name uncultured bacterium. RNAcentral's name for it is "partial 16S ribosomal RNA". It matches the Rfam family "Bacterial small subunit ribosomal RNA", at positions 524 to 776 of the family's 1533-position model. The record is from RNAcentral.